This 1453-nucleotide ribosomal RNA is filed under the name uncultured candidate division CAB-I bacterium. RNAcentral describes it as "partial 16S ribosomal RNA". It matches the Rfam family "Bacterial small subunit ribosomal RNA". The record is from RNAcentral.
GAGUUUGAUUAUGGCUCAGGAUGAACGCACAAGACGUGCCUAACACAUGCAAAUCGAAUGAAAAUAAUUAAUUAUUGUUUUCAUGGUGAACGGGUGAGUAACACAUAAGAAUCAGCUUUUAGAUAAGGCAUAAAAGAGUAAUAUCUUGGUAAUUCCUUAUAUGCGCAGCAGUGCUUAAAAAGGGGAGUCCCGUCUAAAAACGAGCUUAUGCCUGAUUAGCUAGUUGGCGAGUUAAAAGCUCACCAGGGCGAAGAUCAGUAGCUGGCCUGAGAGGGCGGCCAGCCACAUUGGGACUGAGACACGGCCCAAACUCCUACGGGAGGCAGCAGUGGGGAAUCUUCUGCAAUGGGCGCAAGCCUGACAGAGCGGCGUCGUGUGAAGGAAGAAGGCCUGAAAUAGGUUGUAAACUUCUUUUACUGAGUAAUGAAUAAUGACAACGCAGUAAAAAAGUAUCGGCUAACUCCGUGCCAGCAGCCGCGGUAAUACGGGGGAUGCAAGCGUUAUCCGGAAUAACUGGGCGUAAAGCGUCUGUAGGUGGUUUAGUGUGUUCUUAGUUAAAUUCUGAAGCCUAACCUCAUGAAAAGUAAGAAAACUAUUAGACUUGAGUACGAUAGGGGUAAGAGGAAUUCUUCGAGAAGUAGUGAAAUGCGAAGAUACGAAGGAGAAGAUCAUAAGCGAAGGCUUCUUACUGGGUCGUAACUGACACUGAGAGACGAAAGCUAGGGGAGCGAAUGGGAUUAGAUACCCCAGUAGUCCUAGCUGUAAACGAUGGAUAUUCGGUGCCGGAAAUUUUAUUAGAACAUUUCGGUACCCUAGCUAACGCGUUAAAUAUCCCGCCUGAGGAGUACGCUCGCAAGGGUGAAACUCAAAGGAAUUGACGGGGGCUCGCACAAGCGGUGGAGCAUGUGGUUUAAUUCGAUGCAAAGCGAAGAACCUUACCAGGGCUUGACAGUAUGUAUAAAAGUCUUAACGGACUAUUUUAUAAAAUACAUAUACAGGUGGUGCAUGGCUGUCGUCAGCUCGUGUCGUGAGGUGUUGGGUUAAGUCCCGCAACGAGCGCAACCCUUGUUCGGAGUUAUAAGUAAACUUAAUUAUUCUUCGAAAACUGCCUAAACAUAAUAAUGUAGGAGGAAGGCGAGGAUGACGUCAAGUCAUUAUGCCCCUUAUGCUCUGGGCUACACACGUGCUACAAUGGGAGGUACAAUAAAAAGGUCUCUUCGUAAGAAGAGGUUAAAUAAAAUAAACCCUCUCUUAGUUCGGAUCGUAGACUGCAACUCGUUUACGUGAAGUUGGAAUCGCUAGUAAUCGCCGGUCAGACAUACGGCGGUGAAUAUGUUCUCGAGCCUUGUACACACCGCCCGUCACGCCACGGGAAUUAAUCUCUCUGGAAAUCUUUGUUAAGAGAUGAUGGAAAGAUCGAUAACUGGGGUGAAGUCGUAACAAGGUAACAAUC